This 316-nucleotide unclassified non-coding RNA is filed under the name plant metagenome. RNAcentral's name for it is "partial contains 5.8S ribosomal RNA, internal transcribed spacer 2, and large subunit ribosomal RNA". The stretch from base 1 to 105 matches the Rfam family "5.8S ribosomal RNA", at positions 50 to 154 of the family's 154-position model. The record is from RNAcentral.
GAAAUGCGAUAAGUAGUGUGAAUUGCAGAAUUCAGUGAAUCAUCGAAUCUUUGAACGCACAUUGCGCCCCUUGGUAUUCCAUGGGGCAUGCCUGUUCGAGCGUCAUCUACACCCUCAAGCUCUGCUUGGUGUUGGGCGUCUGUCCCCGCCUCCGCGCGCGGACUCGCCCCAAAUCCAUUGGCAGCGUCCCCUCGCCCCCCUCUCGCGCAGUACGAAUGCGCAUGACGAGGGAGCGGCUCCCGGGAUCGCGACCCACCCCCAAGAUGACCACCGUCUUUGACCUCGGAUCAGGUAGGGAUACCCGCUGAACUUAAGC